CAAGCGUUGUAGGGGGACCAGUGUUGCUGGUUGAGAUUGUAUCCGUAAGAUACUGACUCUUAGAACCUGAUCUGGGUAAAACCAGCGUAGGGAACAUGUCGAUAUACAAA
This is a regulatory RNA element of Virgibacillus pantothenticus, 110 nucleotides long. It matches the Rfam family "TPP riboswitch aptamer (THI element)". From Rfam's summary of the family: Vitamin B(1) in its active form thiamin pyrophosphate (TPP) is an essential coenzyme that is synthesised by coupling of pyrimidine and thiazole moieties in bacteria. The previously detected thiamin-regulatory element, thi box was extended, resulting in a new, highly conserved RNA secondary structure, the THI element, which is widely distributed in eubacteria and also occurs in some archaea. Analysis of operon structures identified a large number of new candidate thiamin-regulated genes, mostly transporters, in various prokaryotic organisms. NCBI's taxonomy places the organism in Bacteria, Bacillati, Bacillota, Bacilli, Caryophanales, Bacillaceae. The record is from Rfam.